GCGAACGCUGGCGGCGUGCUUAACACCUGCAAGUCGCACGGAAAGGCCCUGCUUGCAGGGUCCUCGAGUGGCGAACGGGUGAGUAACACGUGGGUGAUCUGCCCUGCACUUCGGGAUAAGCCUGGGAAACUGGGUCUAAUACCGGAUAGGAGCCAUUUUUAGUGUGAUGGUUGGAAAGUUUUUUCGGUGUAGGAUGAGCUCGCGGCCUAUCAGCUUGUUGGUGGGGUAAUGGCCUACCAAGGCGGCGACGGGUAGCCGGCCUGAGAGGGUGGACGGCCACAUUGGGACUGAGAUACGGCCCAGACUCCUACGGGAGGCAGCAGUGGGGAAUAUUGCACAAUGGGCGCAAGCCUGAUGCAGCGACGCCGCGUGGGGGAUGACGGCCUUCGGGUUGUAAACUCCUUUCGCUAGGGACGAAGCUUUUUGUGACGGUACCUAGAUAAGAAGCACCGGCUAACUACGUG
This 464-nucleotide ribosomal RNA is filed under the name uncultured bacterium. RNAcentral describes it as "partial 16S ribosomal RNA". It matches the Rfam family "Bacterial small subunit ribosomal RNA", at positions 29 to 507 of the family's 1533-position model. The record is from RNAcentral.